AUUGAACGCUGGCGGCAUGCCUUACACAUGCAAGUCGAACGGUAACAGGCCUUCGGGUGCCGACGAGUGGCGAACGGGUGAGUAAUACAUCGGAACGUGCCCGAUCGUGGGGGAUAACGAGGCGAAAGCUUUGCUAAUACCGCAUACGAUCUACGGAUGAAAGCAGGGGACCGCAAGGCCUUGCGCGGACGGAGCGGCCGAUGGCAGAUUAGGUAGUUGGUGGGAUAAAAGCUUACCAAGCCGACGAUCUGUAGCUGGUCUGAGAGGAUGAUCAGCCACACUGGGACUGAGACACGGCCCAGACUCCUACGGGAGGCAGCAGUGGGGAAUUUUGGACAAUGGGCGCAAGCCUGAUCCAGCCAUGCCGCGUGCAGGAUGAAGGCCUUCGGGUUGUAAACUGCUUUUGUACGGAACGAAAAGCCUUCUUUUAAUACAGGAGGGUCAUGACGGUACCGUAAGAAUAAGCACCGGCUAACUACGUG
Molecule: ribosomal RNA, 482 nt
Filed under: uncultured bacterium
Lineage: Bacteria
Description: partial 16S ribosomal RNA
Rfam family: Bacterial small subunit ribosomal RNA
Source: RNAcentral